This is a non-coding RNA of Tinamus guttatus (white-throated tinamou), 97 nucleotides long. NCBI's taxonomy places the organism in Eukaryota, Metazoa, Chordata, Aves, Tinamiformes, Tinamidae. The record is from RefSeq and is a predicted model, not a curated record.
CACAGCAUCAAAGCAUGGCUGAGGUUGGAAGGGACCUCUGGAGAUCAUCUAGUCCAACUCCGCUGUUCAAGCAGGGUCACCUAGAACGUGCUGCACA